AGUUGCUUUUCAAGAGAAUAAAAUUGCAUGUCUAGAGGAGAGGUUAGUUGUUAUGUUGUUGAUAUCUGCCUUAUACAAUCAGUGUAUGACUAUUGUUCAUAUUUGGAAUCUCUUGUAUUAUAAUUGAUUGUGACGUCUAGAACGUACAAGGGAGACUCUAUCCGUUCGGCGGUCUGUUGGUGUGCCCAAACCCAACCAAAUAGGCUGGACUCGGGGCGUGACAUUUUGCAAAAAUACUUUUAAAAAUAUAAUAGCACCAAAUUAAUCUCUAUAAUCUCUAUAUUCUCUCAUUGAAACGUAUACUACUCUACUUCAAGUAAUUUAUCCCUCUUGACCAAACUCCCAAUAAAUGAAAUUACACACAUUAUUAAUUUUCGUGCGAAAUAGGAUUCAAGCGCAGGAUCAGAUGCUGAAUUGUAAACCAUGAUGGCGUGUUUAUCAAAAGUUGGAUACCAAUUCCUGAUAGGGAUGCAAAUGAAUCCGGAUUGGCCGAGCUCUUCUCACUGUCCGUUUUGAAUGGAGUAGUAAGCAAAGGUCAAAAAUGAAAAAAAAACGUUAAUCCGUUCCGAUUCGUUAAGAAAACGAAACGGGAGGUGAAAGACUCCGUUCUUUUUUUUAAUUUAUCGUGAACCACCGAAAAAUCAAUCAAAAUCUAUUGGGUUAAUUUUAUACAGGCUCAUGCAAACAGAGUGAAUUACAAAUAUAUCCCUACAAACUUCAACUUUCAUAUGUUGUACUGAUAAAAGUCCUAAUAUUUUCAACCAUGUCUUUUUGAUUUGUUAACGUUAAAACACUGUUUAUAUUAUAAGUGAAAUGAUUUUUUUACCAUCAUAAAUAUGUCCCUCCUCAACUGUUAAUUGAAGAGAGAUAAAAAUAUCAAUUCACCUUAUUGACCAAUGAGAAUUAAAUAUUUUAUCUAUUAUUAACUAAUUUUUUCUAACGAAUUUUACCGGCAGGAACAUUUUUGAAAAAAUCAGAAUUUUUAUAGCGACAGUAUAUAAAAGUUAAACUUUAUAGGAAUAUAUUUGUAAAUAUCUAUAUGAAAUUAAUUUAAACCUAUUUAUAUUCUGAACAAAGUGGUGAGUAGGGCUUAAAAAUUAUGAAUCCGCCCUGACCCGCCAAGUAAACGGGGC
Molecule: long non-coding RNA, 1133 nt
Filed under: Ananas comosus (pineapple)
Lineage: Eukaryota; Viridiplantae; Streptophyta; Magnoliopsida; Poales; Bromeliaceae
Description: long non-coding RNA (ACOM_LNC022834)
Source: RNAcentral